ACGGGAGGCAGCAGUGGGGAAUAUUGCACAAUGGGCGCAAGCCUGAUGCAGCAACGCCGCGUGAGCGAAGAAGGUCUUCGGAUCGUAAAGCUCUGUCCUUGGGGACGAAGAAGUGACGGUACCCAAGGAGGAAGCCCCGGCUAACUACGUGCCAGCAGCCGCGGUAAUACGUAGGUGGCGAGCGUUAUCCGGAUUUACUGGGUGUAAAGGGCGCGUAGGCGGGGAUGCAAGUCAGAUGUGAAAUCUAUGGGCUUAACCCAUAAACUGCAUUUGAAACUGUAUCUCUUGAGUGCUGGAGAGGUAGAUGGAAUUCCUUGUGUAGCGGUGAAAUGCGUAGAUAUAAGGAAGAACACCAGUGGCGAAGGCGAUCUACUGGACAGUAACUGACGCUGAGGCGCGAAAGCGUGGGGAGCAAACAGGAUUAGAUACCCUGGUA
The sequence is a ribosomal RNA, 436 nucleotides long. It matches the Rfam family "Bacterial small subunit ribosomal RNA", at positions 341 to 792 of the family's 1533-position model.